This 1428-nucleotide ribosomal RNA is filed under the name uncultured organism. RNAcentral describes it as "16S ribosomal RNA". It matches the Rfam family "Bacterial small subunit ribosomal RNA". The record is from RNAcentral.
CGAACGCUGGCGGCGUGCUUAACACAUGCAAGUCGAACGGAAAGGCCCUGCUUUUGUGGGGUGCUCGAGUGGCGAACGGGUGAGUAACACGUGAGUAACCUGCCCUUGACUUUGGGAUAACUUCAGGAAACUGGGGCUAAUACCGGAUAGGAGCUCCUGCUGCAUGGUGGGGGUUGGAAAGUUUCGGCGGUUGGGGAUGGACUCGCGGCUUAUCAGCUUGUUGGUGGGGUAGUGGCUUACCAAGGCUUUGACGGGUAGCCGGCCUGAGAGGGCGACCGGCCACAUUGGGACUGAGAUACGGCCCAGACUCCUACGGGAGGCAGCAGUGGGGAAUAUUGCACAAUGGGCGGAAGCCUGAUGCAGCAACGCCGCGUGCGGGAUGACGGCCUUCGGGUUGUAAACCGCUUUCGCCUGUGACGAAGCGUGAGUGACGGUAAUGGGUAAAGAAGCACCGGCUAACUACGUGCCAGCAGCCGCGGUGAUACGUAGGGUGCGAGCGUUGUCCGGAUUUAUUGGGCGUAAGGGGCUCGUAGGUGGUUGAUCGCGUCGGAAGUGUAAUCUUGGGGCUCAACCCUGAGCGUGCUUUCGAUACGGGUUGACUUGAGGAAGGUAGGGGAGAAUGGAAUUCCUGGUGGAGCGGUGGAAUGCGCAGAUAUCAGGAGGAACACCAGUGGCGAAGGCGGUUCUCUGGGCCUUUCCUGACGCUGAGGAGCGAAAGCGUGGGGAGCGAACAGGCUUAGAUACCCUGGUAGUCCACGCUGUAAACGGUGGGUACUAGGUGUGGGGUCCAUUCCACGGGUUCCGUGCCGUAGCUAACGCUUUAAGUACCCCGCCUGGGGAGUACGGCCGCAAGGCUAAAACUCAAAGGAAUUGACGGGGCCCCGCACAAGCGGCGGAGCAUGCGGAUUAAUUCGAUGCAACGCGUGGAACCUUACCUGGGUUUGACAUGGAUCGGGAGUGCUCAGAGAUGGGUGUGCCUCUUUUGGGGUCGGUUCACAGGUGGUGCAUGGCUGUCGUCAGCUCGUGUCGUGAGAUGUUGGGUUAAGUCCCGCAACGAGCGCAACCCUUGUUCACUGUUGCCAGCACGUUAUGGUGGGGACUCAGUGGAGACCGCCGGGGUCAACUCGGAGGAAGGUGGGGAUGACGUCAAGUCAUCAUGCCCCUUAUGUCCAGGGCUUCACGCAUGCUACAAUGGCUGGUACAGAGAGUGGCGAGCCUGUGAGGGUGAGCGAAUCUCGGAAAGCCGGUCUCAGUUCGGAUUGGGGUCUGCAACUCGACCUCAUGAAGUCGGAGUCGCUAGUAAUCGCAGAUCAGCAACGCUGCGGUGAAUACGUUCCCGGGGCUUGUACACACCGCCCGUCAAGUCAUGAAAGUUGGUAACACCCGAAGCCGAUGGCCUAACCGUUGUGGGGGAGCCGUCGAAGGUGG